UACGUAGGGGGCAAGCGUUGUCCGGAAUCAUUGGGCGUAAAGCGCGCGUAGGCGGUCCGAUAAGUCCGCUGUAAAAGUCGGGGGCUCAACCCUCGAAUGCCGGUGGAUACUGUCGGGCUUGAGUGCGGAAGAGGCGAGUGGAAUUCCUGGUGUAGCGGUGAAAUGCGCAGAUAUCAGGAGGAACACCAAUUGCGAAGGCAGCUCGCUGGACGUUACUGACGCUGAUGCGCGAAAGCGUGGGGAGCAAACAGG
Molecule: ribosomal RNA, 252 nt
Filed under: uncultured bacterium
Lineage: Bacteria
Description: partial 16S ribosomal RNA
Rfam family: Bacterial small subunit ribosomal RNA
Source: RNAcentral